Molecule: long non-coding RNA, 6882 nt
Filed under: Pelobates cultripes (western spadefoot toad)
Lineage: Eukaryota; Metazoa; Chordata; Amphibia; Anura; Pelobatidae
Source: RNAcentral
UUUAACAGUCACACCUGUCCCUCUUCCCUCCUCCCGCUGUCUCCCUGGAGAUCCACUAUUGACUUGCAGCUGUCACUAGGUCUGUUAGCAGUCUCUGUCUCACAAACACUCUGCUGGAGCUGGAGAGGGGUCUGUUUGUCCCAGUGUAUCGCCUUUCACUUUUGGCACUUACCCUGCAGACUGCCCCCAUACAGGUGAGUAAACCUUCACACUACAACACUGAAAGGUCCUAUUCAUUGCUCUUCCUAGCCAGGUUAACCAUAUCGGUGCAAGGUACACUGUUCCCAAUUUCCUAACAUUAACCCUUCCAUUGCUGGUGAUCUUUAUAUCCCGCUGCUGUAGUGGUUAACUGUGGUACCCCAGAUGUUUGUGACAUACAUUUCCCAUGAUGCAUGAUUGCUAAAUUAGCCAACACUACACUAUUGGCAAUACAAGGGUUAAAGAGCAGCAUUUUCUGCUAGAGGAAAACAAAGGCACCUCUGUAGCUAUUGGCUAAAAUAUCAAUUCAAUUGUUUAAUUGGAAUUAAAGGAAUAAUCUGUAGGGUUGGAAGGUGUAAAUUCAUUAACCCCUUAGUGACCAUUGAGAUAUCAUGCCUUGCAUAAUAUAAUGGGAUUUGCCUAUCCCUUAUGAAGGUAAGUAUUUUUUUUUUUUUUUAGGAGCCAAGGCUCCAGUCGUGAAAGGGUUAAUGGCGUGAGCUUUGAAACAAAGAGCAGAGAACAAUGAUGCAAUCCUCCCCUAUUGUUGUCACAUACAGGGUUUAACCUGUUGAGUGCCAUGUAAGAAACGGAGACCUUCAGACAUGAGAAACUGGUGUAGUACCAAUAUUACGUAUCAUUUCCUGUAGUGGGCUGCUUAACCCACUAAUACUAUAAUCCUGUAAAAUCUCCUUCCCUGUGGAGCAGUUCUUUGUUCCAUUAAUUCGCCCCCUUUCUGUAAAAACCUAGCUUUCCCAAUUAAAUGGUGGAUCAACAAGGAGCAGCUAUCACAGAGCAAAGGGAGUAAGGCGAUGGUUUGAAAUAAGUAAAGAUUUGCAAUAAAUACCAUUUACAAGCAGGCAGCGUGUAGAAAUGGAGUUGAGUGGGCAACAUUCUAAAAGUGAUGCAAUCACCAUGGAAACUGAUGCAAUGUCCCUGCUGAUUGCUCCAGUUUUAGAAUGUUGCCUUCCUUUUAUACCAGCUAAACCUUCAUUGCAGCAUCACACUUACAGUGAGGUUUAUUUACAUUGGAAGGAUCACAUUUGCUAAAUUUAGUUUUAAAAUAAAACUGCGACUAUCUUCUCUUUCCAAGCUGGCGUUUUGGCCUAAUUUUUACAAUUUGAAUUUUAACUUCAUCACAAAUAACUAUUCAGUAAUAAUUUCCAAUGAUUACAACCAGGAUCCUGGUUAAAUAGACAUGGAUACUGAUUCACAUGCUUAUUCACUAAAAGGGACACUGUAGACACCCAGACCACUUCAGCUAAUUGAAGUGGUCUGGGUGCUGUGCCCCUUUUGCACUUAGUGCUGCAAUGUAAAACAUUUUGUUUUCCUGGCAUUAUAGGAUCCCUUAAAGUGAGAAUUCGAAGUGAAUUUAAUUUAAAAUUUAAGGCCAAAGUAAACAAAACAGAAAUAUGGCUGACAUAGAGAAUGUUUGCAGUUUGGCUACUUUUAUCUUGAAUGGGAAAUUGACUGUAGGGUAAUAAAGAUUUUCAGUACAAUGAACCAGUGUUUGAGCAGAUCAUUUUCAGGAUUAUAGAGUUUUUGGUUAAUACAGUGGAUUAAGCAACCCUCCAUAAAUUACAUGUAGCCUUGGUACUACAGCUGUUUUUUGAACUAUAUUUGCAUGAUACCCAGCUAGCUUUUCGCUUACAUACAUUUACAAUGUCAACACUAGUAGUCAUCUGGCUUUACAUGAUGCCUAGUGUGUGGAGGUGAUGACGCACAUGUACAGCCAACCUAACUCUCCUUACUACUGCUAUGCCAGUGGCAUAGCAGGAAAGUCCAAAAAGGUCAAAAUAAUUUGUACUGUCAAGGCUAUUUACAAAUGUGAAAAUUGUCAAGAAUUCAAAGUUCCCUCUCUUUUCUCUAUCUAUCUAUUCUCUAUUAUAUGUCUAUCUUUAAAUAAAAACUAUAUUUGCUUAAGAAUUCAAAGUCGUUUUAAACAUUUUUAGAUAACGUUAAAUUGAAACCAUGGCUGGCUUGUAGAAUGGUUACAAUUUAUUGAGAUCUUAAAUUUGAAGUUCACUGUACAAACACUUUGAAUUCUUGACAAUUCUCACGUUAGUAAAAAAAAAAUUCUCGCUGUUUGUCUGGAAUAGUAUAUAGAUGUAAUUUCAUACUAUUCCGUUAACACAGGUGUACUUUAAGUAGAGAUAUUAAGAAAUCAUGUUUAAUUUCAGUUGAAAGGCAGGUGCUAUCACAGAGUUAAGUAAAUUUAAAGCUUUUUUUAACACAUGUAGAAGCUCUGUCAUAUAAGCAACACAUACCCCGAGGAUAUCCACUUACCUGUAAUUAACUCUCCUCUACUUGCUGUGACCUGCCCAAUCUCCUGGGGCACCAGGUGGCACUUCUCAUUGCAGUAUCAAGAAACAGUGGCUCUGUGACAGUUACACCGCUUUACACAAUGUCAAACCACAUGACUAAAAUUGCCGAGGCUCGUAAAACAGUGGAACAGUUGAAGAUGGAGGUGAAUGUAAGCAGAACGAAGGUAAGAAUGAAUUAAAGCAAGCGGUCGAGAGGCUUACGUCAGUCUGAUGACCCUGAAAGAGUUAGACAAUUUAUUGCUGCUUAGUUGUUCUAAACCUGAAACUUCACCAUUUAACAAGGGAAUAGGUGCAUAUGGCAAAAGCAAAGAAGGAUAGCAAGAGAGGGGAGGACGGACAACAGCUCAAAUAGCCUGCCCUUCGGUGGGUCCCCGCUCAGAUCUCAAGCUGGUUUUAGCUCAAUUUGUGCCAUUACAAAGAGAACAUCUCUGAAGCAUAUCAGACUGGUCCCACCCAUACAGGCAGACCAGAUCCGAAAUGCCAGCACGUUCCCUCUGCACGAAAGAUACGGCAACCCCUGGCGAUCGUUUCAACCUUGUAAGGUAUCAUCAGUAAUCCAGACGUGGACCCCUCGCUUACGGUGCCUAGAGAGAUAUCAGCUAUGCCUCACAAGGCUGAAAUGAUUGUCUGGGGUUGCUGUGUCUCUUGUGCAGAGGGAACUUGCUGGCAUUUCGGAUCUGGACCGCCCGUAUGGGUGGGACCAGUCUGAUAUGCUUCAGAUAUGUUCUCUCUGUAAUGGCACAAGAUGAGCUAAAACCAGCUUGAGAUCUGAGUGGGGACCCACCGAAGGGCAGGCUAUUUCAGCUGCUGCCUGUUCUCAGUAUACUCUUGCGCCCUGUUUUUUUGCUCUCCAUAUGGGAAAAGCGCCUGAGAAAGUGAAUAAAAAGUUAAGACAACAGUUUUUAUAGAUAGCCCCAAUUGUGUUUCUGCAACUCUCCCAGAAUGCCAUGUAAACUAUGCAAAUAAGCAGACCACAUUGGCCAACCCAUGGGUUUGGGAAUCUUCAAAAUGUUAGUCUUAGUUAAAUCUCAAAGUAUAUAAAUAUCUGAUGCCAUGAAGUGAAGGUAAAUGUUUUGAAAGUUGUGAUGAGAUAAAUAAGUCUAAUCUGAUUUUAAUUAAAUUCUCAAAGUCAUCAGCAUGCUGGUGAGACCUAAACACUCAAUGCUGCGUUGUAUGUACCUGCUGCACAGAGGUAUAUUAGAGAACUUGUUUCAUCAUCACAAUCAUUGGAAUGUUUUGGGGGUUUUAUGUCACCAUACUAUGAUUAUUAUUUAAAGCAACAUGGGUAAAGUCAUAGGCGUGCGCACGUGGUGUGCCAGGUGUGCCUGGGCACACCUUAAUCCCUGCGGCACGCCUAUGGAGUGAGACCGGCAGGGGAAAUCUCAGGAUCUCCCCUGUCGGCUCAUGCAGAGCCAGCGCUAUCCGAGCGCCGGCUCUGCUCUCAGCCUCCCUCCCCGCUGCAGCAUGGAGGGAGGCAGGAGAGGACCCGGGGAGCUCAACCAGCAGCUCCGCCGGGUUCCUCUCGCAAGCAACGCCCAGAUCUCGAGAGAGUGAACUCUAGCCCCAAAGGGGCUAGAGUUCACUCUCCACUGGACCACCAGGGAAAGCAGCAGCACGAUCCACCCCUCCCUACAUAAGGUAAGAAGGGAGUGGGGAUAUUAAGUAAUGUGCACCCACCCACACAGCACCUACAUACACACAGCACACACAUGGAGCACCCACACGCACAGCACACACAGCACACAAACACACACACAGCACACUAACAGGACCCUAACAAACACACACACACAAAGCACACAAACAGCACCCUCACACACAGCACCCUUACACACACAACACCCUCAAACCACCCUCAUGCAGCACACACACACACACAGCAGUGUAUGUAUGUGUGUGUGUGUAUAUAUAUAUAUAUAUAUAUAUAUAUAAACACACAUACAUAUAUGCGCGGCGUGUGUUUGUGCUUUAGGGUGCACACCCUAAUGCAAUAGGCUGCGCACGCCUAUGGGUAAAGUAUAGUGUAUAGUAGUUUUGUUUUGUUUAUUAGAAUUUGUGUUCUUUUUACCAAUGUAACCUUGAACAUUAAUAGCAUAAAAGGGAAGUAAAAUAUAUUGUUAUAAAGUAUAUAUGAUGUACAUUUAUUGUGGUACAGUCAUCUGAAAAUGUCUUCCUACUAAUCAGUUUAAAACAAUUUUUAAAUGAAUUUUAAUCUUAGGCAGGUUAUAGUACAUUUAGCAGGCAGUCAUCUUGCCUUCAUAAAUGUAAGCCCUUAGUGACCGUUGCCAGUUACUGAUAAUAAAAAAAAAUAAAAACAAGCAAGGCCGUAGAGAUCAUGUGAUGACAGCAGCCAAUCAGAGUCUGUGAUUUGCAGAGUAGCUCCCAGUAUUCCAUUGUCCUGGGACACAUUGGCGUCCUCUCUGGUCCGGCCCAAACUAUCCAAUGUUUGGUUGAAAUGCUUUAAUAUUGUUGCGUAAAAUGUUCUUAACAUUUUGAAAAAUGAGCAACACAAAGUAUAUUUUCUAAAAUGCUAAAUGAUGGAACAUGGACUAUAUUUGAUAAUAAAGAAACAAACAAAAAAAAACACACAUGUUAAGGUUCUAAUGCUUUAAGAUCAUAUGAGUCAAGUUUUCCUCCUGUUGCUUCAGGGCUCUCACAAAAAAUGUACAUCGAAUAGAAUUUUAUAGUUUUUAAAAGACAGCAAAUUAUUCAUAAACCAUCUGUAUUUGCCAUAAGCUUACAGUUUUCUUUGAUGGGAGUUAUUGUCCAAAAAUUAGCUGGAUAAAACCUGGCCAAAAAUUGAGUCCGUUCCUUAUUCAUGAAAGCUGUACUUUAUCUUUUUUGUUUUGUUUGUUUUAAUCCUUCAUCACUGCCUAUGUCUUCCAGGUGUCUAUCGUGGUUUCCGAGAUCCUCUCAUUCUGUCAGUCUCACUCCCUGUCCGAUCCGUUGGUCUCUCCAGUUCCAGCACCUGAGAAUCCAUUCAGGGAGAAACGCCUGGUUUGUGUUGUCCUCUGAUCUGCUCAACCCAUGGCCUGCAGUCUUCAUCACCUACGACAGACAAUCUUCUUCUCUUAGCCUCCUGUAUUAUAUGUUCUUUGUAACCAACCGACCUUCCUAGAUGCCUCGUUACAUGACAUUUUGUAUGUUUGUCUUGCUUGUAUGUAUGUAGAGGUAGCGGCAGGAGACCUGUCCAAGUAUGGGACCUGUUACAUAUCCUUUGCAAAAAAAUAAAAAAAACUUUUUCUUUCCAGGAAACAUUGUAUGGACCAACCCCUUGGAAACUCCUAGCCAUUACUUUACCAACUGCAUUCAGUAUGGGGUCUGUUAAUAAAAGGUGUGCGUUGUGGCAUCUUGAGAAUUGGCUUGUGAAAUUUAGAUUAAAAUCUAUAACAGCAGAAUUGUGAAUUCUUUUAUUUUUUAUUUUUAACCCUACCAGUUUUCUAAAUUACACAAGUUGGUUUUAAAGUUAUCACAGCUCAUUGUUUAUUGACUAAACCCCUUUGAAAUCUCUCUUUGGCUUGGUGUCCGGUAGCUCUGAUUUCUAAGAAUUUUCCCCUGACAUCAUGGUGGCUUUACCUUUUUAACCCCUACGUUUCUUUUGCCCUACAUUGUAACUACCUUAUCAUGACAGCUGUUAUAAUAAAAUAGUUCAUUAGAGUGUAUCGUGAUCUGGUUUUGUUAAUUUAACUAAAACAUAAUAACUGACACUGGUUGAUGUCAGAGUAGGUGACCUACAGCCUUUUAUUGGAUAAGCAUAAUUGGAGUUGGAGUCCACAGCAGUGAUAAUUUUUAUAUCCUUGAAAGUUAGUUCACCUGUUUCUUGCAUGUAUUAACAUGCUCUUUCUGCUAGGUGGCGCUAUGUGUUCCUUGAAAUGUUAAGUCGUGUAGUUAUUGUAGACUGAAUUCAGACAGUAAUUUCCAUAUGAAACAGGUUAUGUAUAAUGUAUCAAUCGUGAGGCACAGUUCUGAAAGUGGAGCAGUCAUUAGGAUCGUUCCAUAGGUUUCCAUGGUGAUUGCAUCUGUUUUAGAAGUCCCUAGGGUUUUCAUUAUCCAUAACUCCCUUAGGACUUGUUUCAAUGGUUUUUGGUAAAAAGCAGCCGUUAUGUAUUCUAAAUAAAUACUAACAAGCAGAUGUUUGCUGAUAAAAAAAAUAAUAUCGACAGGUAUUAUCGACACUUGCAUUUCACGUCUGCAUGUUACGCAUGGCUGUCUCCACCGGUACCGACCACCACUUCUCAUUUACUAUUGUGCAAACUGGACUUACAGCAAGAAAAAGGUGAAUUUUCCAAUUCAUUCCCAAACACCGUAAACCGUUUGAGAGCUCAUCUGAGCCAGUUGCCCUCAGUGUCUCUAUGCACCUGAC